RNAcentral lists this ribosomal RNA (403 nucleotides) under uncultured bacterium. RNAcentral's name for it is "bacterial SSU rRNA". It matches the Rfam family "Bacterial small subunit ribosomal RNA", at positions 355 to 774 of the family's 1533-position model. The record is from RNAcentral.
UCGGGAAUAUUGCGCAAUGGAGGAAACUCUGACGCAGUGACGCCGCGUAUAGGAAGAAGGUUUUCGGAUUGUAAACUAUUGUCGUUAGGGAAGAAAAAGGACAGUACCUAAGGAGGAAGCUCCGGCUAACUACGUGCCAGCAGCCGCGGUAAUACGUAGGGAGCGAGCGUUAUCCGGAUUUAUUGGGUGUAAAGGGUGCGUAGACGGGUAAUCAAGUUAGUUGUGAAAUCCCUCGGCUCAACUGAGGAACUGCAACUAAAACUGGUUGUCUUGAGUGCAGGAGAGGUAAGUGGAAUUCCUAGUGUAGCGGUGAAAUGCGUAGAUAUUAGGAGGAACACCAGUGGCGAAGGCGACUUACUGGACUGUAACUGACGUUGAGGCACGAAAGUGUGGGGAGCAAACA